GAUCACCCCAAGUUUUUGGCUUAGGCAGCUGGUAAAAUGGAGAUGCUGUUUACUUGAGAUGGAAUUAAAGGUAAGGACAUUUUGGUGUUGGUGUUGGUAAUCUAUAGUCUUAGGACAUAUACUAGAAUAAAAUAUUUACUUCCUACUCGUUUUUUUUUAAACUAACAUUUAUUCUACUUUUUAUGAAUAAAUUGUAUCCUUUCUGAAGAGCUAAUGUGUUUGGGAUUAAUUUUGCUACAUGGGGAUGUGGUGUUUUAAGGAGUAAAACACAGUAAUAACUUUUGGCUGGGUGUGGUGGCUCACACCUGUAAUCCCAGCACUUUGGGAGGCCAAAGUGGGUGGAUCACCUGAGGUCAGGAGUUCGAGACCAGCCUGGCCAACAUGGUGAGACUCCCCCCGAUUUAAUUACGGUUGUGAUGAGUGCUUGUACAGAAAAGUCCAGUAUCUGCAGAGGGGCACAGUGAUACAAGUAGUUGGGAAUGGCUGAAAUAAGGAUGGAUUGACAAGAGGCCAAGUGUGGUUGAGGAUGUGUACCUCAAUUUCUUUUUCUCUAAAAUGGGAUGAUAAUAAUUACUACCUCAAAGGGU
Molecule: long non-coding RNA, 587 nt
Filed under: Homo sapiens (human)
Lineage: Eukaryota; Metazoa; Chordata; Mammalia; Primates; Hominidae
Description: non-protein coding lnc-CAPZA1-1:1
Source: RNAcentral